This 115-nucleotide ribosomal RNA is filed under the name Candidatus Peribacteria bacterium RIFCSPLOWO2_12_FULL_53_10. The record is from RNAcentral. Lineage: Bacteria; Candidatus Peregrinibacteriota; Candidatus Peribacteria.
CUUGGUGGCCUUAGCGACGGGGAAACACCCGUUCCCAUUCCGAACACGGCAGUUAAGACCGUCAGCGCCGAUGGUAGUGAGACAUCAGUUUCGCAAGAGUAGGUCGCCGCCAAGA